GAAAACUGACAUUGUCAGGUACUAGGCAGUGCAUAUGGUCUUUAACUACUGGUUGACAUGCUAGAGAGCUAGUGUACCUUUUUUAUUUUUUUGCUGUGCUGGGUCUUCGUUGCAGUGCGCCAACAUUGCAAUGGUUUCUCCUCUGGUAUCUAAAGGUGUCCUUUUUUCCUUCAAAGGCCGGUCUCUUUAGAAUAAGUGUGUGAGAUCCUGUUCCCUUCUGCUUUUACAGUCUUGCUUCAUUGAUUAUUCUUGCUGAACUGCAUAUUCAAUACUGACUCUAUUCUUCAUUC
This 290-nucleotide long non-coding RNA is filed under the name Bos taurus (domestic cattle). Its description in RNAcentral is "long non-coding RNA NONBTAT025979". Lineage: Eukaryota; Metazoa; Chordata; Mammalia; Artiodactyla; Bovidae. The record is from RNAcentral.